ACUCCUACGGGAGGCAGCAGUCGGUGAAUAUUGGACAAUGGGCGCAAGCCUGAUCCAGCCAUGCCGCGUGAGUGAUGAAGGCCCUAGGGUUGUAAAGCUCUUUCACCGGUGAAGAUAAUGACGGUAACCGGAGAAGAAGCCCCGGCUAACUUCGUGCCAGCAGCCGCGGUAAUA
This 174-nucleotide ribosomal RNA is filed under the name uncultured bacterium. RNAcentral describes it as "partial 16S ribosomal RNA". It matches the Rfam family "Bacterial small subunit ribosomal RNA", at positions 335 to 525 of the family's 1533-position model. The record is from RNAcentral.